CUUUUUUCAAAGUGUCACGAAACGGGAUUGAAGCAUCUUAAGUUUUUUCCUUUUGUUAUUUAAUUACCGAUUGGAAAGAGGGAGGGUUUCUGAGCAGAAACCAAGUUGGGAUUGCAGAACAGAGAAGAUUCACAGUGGUUUACCGUUGUGAGUUGUUUGGGUAAUCGUGCCUGGUUUUAAACCGAAAGGAUUGUCCUUUAAAAAUGGAACAUGGACUUUAUUAUAAAUGGGACUUAGAUUGGAAAAGACAUUGGUCCCCUAUUUUAAGCCAUGUGAAGCUGUUUUAGGUACCAGGAUCCCCAGUAAAGUCUUUCUAGACUCACAUGGUUAGGACACGUACUUCUGUGCAUCAUAAGCAAUGUAGGUAGGAGCGCAGAUCUACUCUGGAUUUGUAUUCACGUUUGAAAUGUGCGCUCCCUACUUGGGGGUUGGAAUCCAAACAGAAUUUGUAUUUAGUUACCUUUUUUGUGUCAUGCAAACUUACCUUAACUGUCAUGCAUUUUUCUAGUAAUAGCUCUUCAAGUCUGCAAUAAAAAAUGGCCUCCAAUAAAACUACAUUGCAAAAAAUGGGAAAAAAACAGAAUGGAAAGAGUAAAAAAGUUGAAGAGGCAGAGCCUGAAGAAUUUGUCGUGGAAAAAGUACUAGAUCGACGUGUAGUGAAUGGGAAAGUGGAAUAUUUCCUGAAGUGGAAGGGAUUUACAGAUGCUGACAAUACUUGGGAACCUGAAGAAAAUUUAGAUUGUCCAGAAUUGAUUGAAGCGUUUCUUAACUCUCAGAAAGCUGGCAAAGAAAAAGAUGGUACAAAAAGAAAAUCUUUAUCUGACAGUGAAUCUGAUGACAGCAAAUCAAAGAAGAAAAGAGAUGCUGCUGACAAACCAAGAGGAUUUGCCAGAGGUCUUGAUCCUGAAAGAAUAAUUGGUGC
This 922-nucleotide small RNA is filed under the name Pan troglodytes (chimpanzee). RNAcentral describes it as "processed transcript". Lineage: Eukaryota; Metazoa; Chordata; Mammalia; Primates; Hominidae. The record is from RNAcentral.